This is a long non-coding RNA of Vicia villosa (hairy vetch), 2777 nucleotides long. RefSeq lists it as uncharacterized. NCBI's taxonomy places the organism in Eukaryota, Viridiplantae, Streptophyta, Magnoliopsida, Fabales, Fabaceae. The transcript is spliced from 5 exons. The record is from RefSeq and is a predicted model, not a curated record.
UGUCGUGUUUAUUAAGUUUAUUUAUACCUGAUUGAUACUGAUUUCAACUAUGCAUGGUUCAGGUACUACUCAGAGAGACUAUAGGACUUGAUCCACUGAUAUUGAUUUUCAAGCUCAGGGGAAGUUCUUACUCUUUUACUCAACAAAAGGUUGGAUUCUUUAUGCUGUUAGUUAAUCUUUAUAGCUGACUCUUGUUUAAACACCUUGCCAGUAGACAAUCAAUCUACUCAGUGCAUUAGAAACCAUAAAAUUGUUACUGAAUGCCGAUCCCGGGAAAGAUGCUAAUAAACAGAAAAAUAAGACAGCUCUGGUUCAUGAUGAUUGCUCAUGUUUUAAAACAAUAAUGAUAAAAUUUUAUUUCUUAACAUUCAUCUACUUCUACUAUCUACCCAAUACUAUAAUGUUGCCCAAACUUCCUAUUAUACCCUUCCAUCCAAAAAAAUUUACACUACAAAAAGGCUAUCUAAGUAAUUAACAAAAGAAAUAUUCAACUAUGCCAAUUGUAUUCUUCUCAUUGGUCUAUUCCAAAAAGUUAUGUACUAACAUUUGGAUUAUAGUGCAAAUGUUGUUUCCCUCCCAAAAUAUUGAUACUCCACUCCUUUGUAAAGGUCACUUCAGAUUUUGAAUUUUCUGAUUACUCCAUGCCAGUUGUUCUCUUUUCAUUGGUCAUUUCAAUUUUCUUUUGUACUUUCUGAUUACUUUUCAUUCACUUUCGGUUCCCUCCAAUACAAAGCAUAAACGUUUGCAAGCAACACACCUCAUCUCAGUUUUUGUGCUUCAAGGCUCCAUUGUUUUCACAAGAAGACAUAGCGACUGCAAAGCUCAAUCGCCAGAGACUGUUCUAACGUCUUCGUUUUUCAGGGUGAUAAAAUUCAUGAGACCACUCGGAACCGAGACUUCAAAGAUUGGAUUGAAGUUGUCAAGGAGCAUGAGACAUGUUAUCUUUAUAAUGGAGAGCCGGUUGAGAAUGAUGGGCCUUUCAAAGUCUGUUUUAACCCACUCAAGCUCAUCUUCAAUGGAGGGUAUUUCAAAAAAUGAAGAAGAUGCACGAUUCAUCCAUUUACAAUGUUUUAAUUUUUAUAUCAAUCCCAUCCUUUCCGUUAAUGGGGUUGUAUUUUUACCGGGUCAGUUCAAUUUCCUCUGGUAAGAACAGUGAGGAAAAACCAACGCAGUUUCCAUUUGGUUGAAAACCUUUGGGGGUCAUCUAAAGAACAAGUCUUUGUAUGCCUUGGGAUUAUGUUCAGAGUUUUAGUUAACGCGGGUGAUACUUUACUUUUUGGUUUAGAUUCAUGUGACUAUACCAAUAAACCUCGUGGGAAAGCUAUCCUUCAUCAUAAGGUCAAUAAUCUACCAGUAAAUUUGCUUCGUGUUGCAUACUCGAGCCAGAUCCAUGGUCAAAGCUCUUAUUCCUCUUAUGACUUGCCCAAGACUGUUGUGAUGACUCUCAACCAAGUUUCAAUUGUAAAAAGUCUGGACUUCCCUCUAUUUAUUUUUCUGUUGAUGGUUAGUUGGAACAAACUUCCAUUAUUGCCUUUUCCUAGAUGCUUUAGAAUUUUUAACUUGGUUGAUACUGAUAUGGUGCUGAUAUAAUGGUGAUAUUGGUGAUAUGGUACUGAUAUGUUGGGUGUCUUGAAAAAGUUGAUCAUCUCAUAUCAGGAAUUGGUUUAUGUUCUGCCUGAGGCACUGUCACAAUUUGUUUUCAUGAUUUCUUCUGUAAAUUUUUUAUUACAAGGGAAGAUUUUGGCUAAUGAAUGAGGUAUGUACAUUUAAAACAUAUAGGAUCAGAAGGAAGAUGUUGGUUAUGCUAAUAAAUAUUAAUUAUACCCAAACCUAAUGGAUAAUGCAGAGUCAUGUCAUUUGACAAAUGUUGUGUUGGCUAUGGUGAAGGUUGCAUUUGAUACUCUUGAUUUUGAGCUUCAUAGUGGAACUCAUCCUAGACUUGGAGUGGUGGAUCAUAUAUGUUUUCAUCCUUUGGUUGAUAUGUCGUUGGAUCAAGCGGCUAGGACUGCGAGGUGUUUAGCUACUGACAUGGGUUCUAAGCUACAAGGUUAGUAGUAGCACUUGCGACAAGUUUGAUACGUCGUUGUUUUGGCGAAUAUUAGAAUAACUCGCAUCAACUGCACAAGGCAAGUCGGCCACCAACCAGGAAACUUUCUGAUCGGAAGGCAUAUGCUUGUCAAAAGCACUCAGCUAUUAGUGCAUCAACAGAUUUUCCUUGGUACUGAUUUAAGUACCAAUAAAAAGACAUUGAAGUCAAUUUUGGCAUUUGAAAUAGAUACACAUUAUUAUUCACUUUCGGUUUAAUUGGUUUAGUUGGGCCAGAAGAUGUACAUGAAGAGAUAUUGGCUGCUGUUAAGGGUCUUAUCGACUCUGGUCGUGCUUUUUCUAGCCAAUUUUGGAGGCAAGCUAGCAGGCUAUUUCAUUUAUUCAUUAAUUUUAUGUGAUGUAUUUUGUGUUUGCUAGGUGGAUUUGGAAUUUAAAAUCAAAUAAGUUUUAAUAUUUCUCAUACAAUAACCAAGCAUGUGUUGCUCCAUCUCUUAUGUCACCAUAGAUUCAUUAUCAGUACAUAUCAAUGAAUCAGUCUACUAAGUAUUAUUAUAUUUAUGUUGCAAAUUGCAUAAUGUUCAUGUGUAAUUCAGUGUGAUAGCAGGUUAGCAGCACAAUCUGUGCAUAAUUCAGUCAAGUUAAAAGCAUGUAUUUGGCUGCAACAAAAACACAUGCUUUGUUUCACUAGAAGACAUGCUUUGUUAUUUCUGUCUCUAAAUGUGAUCCAUAGU